RNAcentral lists this transfer RNA (87 nucleotides) under Salmonella enterica. Its description in RNAcentral is "tRNA-Leu". It matches the Rfam family "tRNA". From Rfam's summary of the family: Transfer RNA (tRNA) molecules are approximately 80 nucleotides in length. Their secondary structure includes four short double-helical elements and three loops (D, anti-codon, and T loops). Further hydrogen bonds mediate the characteristic L-shaped molecular structure. tRNAs have two regions of fundamental functional importance: the anti-codon, which is responsible for specific mRNA codon recognition, and the 3' end, to which the tRNAs corresponding amino acid is attached (by aminoacyl-tRNA synthetases). tRNAs cope with the degeneracy of the genetic code in two manners: having more than one tRNA (with a specific anti-codon) for a particular amino acid; and 'wobble' base-pairing, i.e. permitting non-standard base-pairing at the 3rd anti-codon position. RNAcentral also lists the same sequence under 1 other name. Lineage: Bacteria; Pseudomonadati; Pseudomonadota; Gammaproteobacteria; Enterobacterales; Enterobacteriaceae. The record is from RNAcentral.
GCGAAGGUGGCGGAAUUGAUAGACGCGCUAGCUUCAGGUGUUAGUGUUCUUACGGACGUGGGGGUUCAAGUCCCCCCCCUCGCACCA